UGGUCCCGCCAGUUAGAUGGGAGCUUGCUCCCUGAUGUUAGCGGCGGACGGGUGAGUAACACGUGGGUAACCUGCCUGUAAGACUGGGAUAACUCCGGGAAACCGGGGCUAAUACCGGAUGGUUGUUUGAACCGCAUGGUUCAAACAUAAAAGGUGGCUUCGGCUACCACUUACAGAUGGACCCGCGGCGCAUUAGCUAGUUGGUGAGGUAACGGCUCACCAAGGCGACGAUGCGUAGCCGACCUGAGAGGGUGAUCGGCCACACUGGGACUGAGACACGGCCCAGACUCCUACGGGAGGCAGCAGUAGGGAAUCUUCCGCAAUGGACGAAAGUCUGACGGAGCAACGCCGCGUGAGUGAUGAAGGUUUUCGGAUCGUAAAGCUCUGUUGUUAGGGAAGAACAAGUACCGUUCGAAUAGGGCGGUACCUUGACGGUACCUAACCAGAAAGCCACGGCUAACUACGUGCCAGCAGCCGCGGUAAUACGUAGGUGGCAAGCGUUGUCCGGAAUUAUUGGGCGUAAAGGGCUCGCAGGCGGUUUCUUAAGUCUGAUGUGAAAGCCCCCGGCUCAACCGGGGAGGGUCAUUGGAAACUGGGGAACUUGAGUGCAGAAGAGGAGAGUGGAAUUCCACGUGUAGCGGUGAAAUGCGUAGAGAUGUGGAGGAACACCCAGUGGCGAAGGCGACU
This 687-nucleotide ribosomal RNA is filed under the name Bacillus subtilis. RNAcentral describes it as "bacterial SSU rRNA". It matches the Rfam family "Bacterial small subunit ribosomal RNA", at positions 59 to 726 of the family's 1533-position model. Lineage: Bacteria; Bacillati; Bacillota; Bacilli; Caryophanales; Bacillaceae. The record is from RNAcentral.